Molecule: long non-coding RNA, 861 nt
Filed under: Cairina moschata (Muscovy duck)
Lineage: Eukaryota; Metazoa; Chordata; Aves; Anseriformes; Anatidae
Description: domestica (muscovy Duck (domestic type)) lncRNA (ENSCMMG00000008269.1)
Source: RNAcentral
AUAGGGAGUGAUCUUCACCCAGAUAUUAUUUAACAGAUUUAUUAAAAAUCUCAAAGGCAGAGACCUGAUAAACUUAUUUCUUUUCAGACUGGUGCUCUAAGAAGAUUUGUGCAAACCUUGAGAAGGAGAUACUAAAAAUGUAUCAAGAGAGUCCAAGAUGCAAACAAGAAUCACAGAAUCACAGAAUUUCUAGGUCAAAAGCAAAAAGGAUAUAACAUGGAAUAAAGAUCCAUAAUGUGUCUGAGGCUGGAAAAGCAGGCCUGCAGGAUUGUUACUGUAUGCCAAAUGAAUAUCCUGUAGUCUUGACCUCCAUGUGGAAUAUUUCUGUGAAAAUACGAAAAAAUUUCCAGCUAGUAAAUAGAUUCUUUCCUAUUAAUAUUGGAGGUGUCUGAAAGAGAAAUUUGUGUGCACCCAGGACUGGCUGUCCUCAGUUGCUCAGAACGAAAGUUCAUCCUGUGCCAGUGUGAUAUCCUAAAGCAAGGCAAGAUGCUGUGCUCUGUACAAAGGAAGAGGGUAGUGUUGGCCUUUCUUCCAUUUGGCGGCUCAUGCAUCAAAAGAAGAUUUCUUAGCCUGCUUCAGGCAUUCUCCAUAUAACCCCUGCCCUUUCUGAGACAUCACAGAAUGAGUGCUCAGGUCUUGCUCCUCUCCUGAUGUUGGGUGAGCUCUAUUAGAGAGAUCUGAAGGUGUGUUCAGUAAUAGAUCAUCCAGGAAACAAAAAUACUCCUCUGUUUCAGCCAGAGUGGCACAACAUGAGAGGCUCAGUACAGGAGGCUGCAGCUGCUACUGGGAGGAAGAGGUUUUGCUGUUGCAGGACACAGAGAAGUUGGUGGGGUGACACUGGUGGGCAUUGGUGCCCUUUGU